GCCUGAUUGGCUCAGUUGGUAGAGCAUGUGACUCUUGAUCUUGAGGUCCUGAGUUCACACCCCAUGUUGGGUA
Molecule: transfer RNA, 73 nt
Filed under: Felis catus (domestic cat)
Lineage: Eukaryota; Metazoa; Chordata; Mammalia; Carnivora; Felidae
Also listed under: 2 other names
Rfam family: tRNA
About the family: Transfer RNA (tRNA) molecules are approximately 80 nucleotides in length. Their secondary structure includes four short double-helical elements and three loops (D, anti-codon, and T loops).
Source: Rfam by way of RNAcentral